This 1677-nucleotide ribosomal RNA is filed under the name human gut metagenome. Its description in RNAcentral is "bacterial LSU rRNA". It matches the Rfam family "Bacterial large subunit ribosomal RNA", at positions 832 to 2524 of the family's 2925-position model. The record is from RNAcentral.
AUCGAACCCGGAGAUAGCUGGUUCUCCUCGAAAUAGCUUUAGGGCUAGCCUCAUGGAUCAUUGAUGGGGGUAGAGCACUGAAUGUGCGCGGGGGCCACAAAGCCUACCAAACGCUAUCAAACUUCGAAUACCAUACAAUGCAGACCAUGGGAGUCAGUCCGCGAGAGAUAAGUUCCGCGGGCAAAAGGGGAACACCCCAGAUCAACCGCUAAGGUCCCCAAGUUCACGUUAAGUGGAGAAGGAUGUGGAAUUGCACAGACAACCAGGAUGUUGGCUCAGAAGCAGCCACACAUUUAAAGAGUGCGUAAUAGCUCACUGGUCGAGUGAUUGUGCGCCGAAGAUGUCCGGGGCUAAACGUGACACCGAAGCGAUGGGUGCAUCUGAAGAAGAUGCGCGGUAGAGGAGCAAUGUGCAGAGGCAGAAGCCGUAUCGAGAGGCACGGUGGACACUGCACAAGAGAGAAUGCCGGUAUGAGUAGCGAGAGGCAUGCGAGAAACAUGCCCGUCGAAAGCCCAAGGUUUCCUGGGGAAGGUUCAUCCGCCCAGGGUAAGUCGGGGCCUAAGCCGAGGACGGAAGUCGUAGGCGAUGGACAGCAGGUGUAGAUUCCUGCACUACCGAUGGAAUGAAGCAGUGACACAGAAGGAUAACUCGAGCAGGGUGAUGGUCAACCCUGUGCAAGCAUCAAGGUUGGGUUGUAGUGAAGUACGCAAUCCUAUAAGCUGAGAUGUGAUGCGGACCGAAAUUUCAGUAGGGAAGCGAGUGAGUUCACGCUGGCGAGAAAAGCUGCUAGUACAUCCAAAGGUACCCGUACCGGAAACCGACGCAGGUGGGCGAGGAGAGAAUCCUGAGACGAACGGGAGAACCCUUGUUAAGGAACUCGGCAAAAUGACCCCGUAACUUCGGGAUAAGGGGUGCCUGCGAGAGCAGGCCGCAGAGAAUAGUCACAAGCGACUGUUUAGCAAAAACACAGGUAUCUGCGAAAGCGAGAGCUGACGUAUAGGUGCUGACACCUGCCCGGUGCUGGAAGGUUAAGGGAACAUGUUAGAGCAAUCGAAGCAUCGAACCGAAGCCCCAGUAAACGGCGGCCGUAACUAUAACGGUCCUAAGGUAGCGAAAUUCCUUGUCGGGUAAGUUCCGACCCGCACGAAUGGUGUAACGACUUGUGAGCUGUCUCAACAGGGGGCCCGGUGAAAUUGAAGUAUGGGUGAAGAUGCCCAUUACCCGCGACUGGACGGAAAGACCCCGUAGAGCUUUACUGCAGCCUGAUAUUGAGUUUCGGUAACUGAUGCACAGGAUAGGUGGGAGUCUGAGAGACAUGGGUUUCGGCUCGUGUGGAGACGAUGUUGGGAUACCACUCUUCGGUUACUGAAAUUCUAACAUAGCUCUGUGAAACCAGAGGAUGGACAGUGUCAGGUGGACAGUUUGACUGGGGCGGUCGCCUCCGAAAGAGUAACGGAGGCGCCCAAAGGUACCCUCAGAAUGGAUGGAAACCAUUCGAAGAGCGCAAAGGCAGAAGGGUGCCUGACUGCGAGAUUGACAAAUCGAGCAGAGACGAAAGUCGGGCUUAGUGAUCCGGCGGUAUUGAGUGGAAAAGCCGUCGCUUAACGGAUAAAAGCUACCUCGGGGAUAACAGGCUGAUCUCCCCCAAGAGUCCACAUCGACGGGGAGGUUUGGCAC